Long non-coding RNA from Pristis pectinata (smalltooth sawfish), 429 nucleotides. RefSeq lists it as uncharacterized. The transcript is spliced from 3 exons. NCBI's taxonomy places the organism in Eukaryota, Metazoa, Chordata, Chondrichthyes, Rhinopristiformes, Pristidae. The record is from RefSeq and is a predicted model, not a curated record.
CAGAAGCUACUAAUUAAUAUUACGCAGGAUGAAGUCUAAAUUCAUAGCAAUAAAAGCAAAGUUAGAUGUUAUUUUCCUGCGAAACUGUUUGUUUCGAUAUUACGCCGGUCCUGUUUGAUUUUUUUUGCAAACGUCAUCUAUGCAGUGAGUAUAGCUUUAAAUAUUCAUGCGAAAAAAAAUAAAUUCUUAAAGGAGAACGCGCUAGAAUUACAGAUUUGCUCUUAAAGCAUGGUAACAGGCCCUUCCGGCCCAACGAGUCUGCGCCACCCAUUUUAAACCCAAAUUAACCUACCCGUACAUCUUUGGAAUGUGGGAGGAAACCGGAGCACCCGGAGGAAACCCACGCAGACACGGGAGAACGUACAAACUCCUUACAGACAGUGACAGGAAUUGAACCCCGAUCGCUGAUAUUUUGAGAGAAAGAUAAUG